Molecule: ribosomal RNA, 260 nt
Filed under: uncultured bacterium
Lineage: Bacteria
Description: partial 16S ribosomal RNA
Rfam family: Bacterial small subunit ribosomal RNA
Source: RNAcentral
GACGAACGCUGGCGGCGUGCUUAACACAUGCAAGUCGAGCGGUAAGGCCCUUUCGGGGGUACGACGAGCGGCGAACGGGUGAGUAACACGUGGGUGACCUGCCCUCAGCUCUGGGAUAAGCCUGGGAAACCGGGGUCUAAUACCGGAUAUGACUCCAUGACGCAUGUUGUGGGGUGGGAAAGCCUUGUGCGGCUGAGGAUGGGCCCGCGGCCUAUCAGCUUGUUGGUGGGGGUGAUGGCCUACCAAGGCGACGACGGGUA